Molecule: ribosomal RNA, 440 nt
Filed under: uncultured bacterium
Lineage: Bacteria
Description: bacterial SSU rRNA
Rfam family: Bacterial small subunit ribosomal RNA
Source: RNAcentral
UACGGAAGGCAGCAGUGGGGAAUAUUGCACAAUGGGCGCAAGCCUGAUGCAGCCAUGCCGCGUGUAUGAAGAAGGCCUUCGGGUUGUAAAGUACUUUCAGUCGUGAGGAAGGUGUUAAGGUUAAUAACCUUAGCAAUUGACGUUAGCGACAGAAGAAGCACCGGCUAACUCCGUGCCAGCAGCCGCGGUAAUACGGAGGGUGCGAGCGUUAAUCGGAAUUACUGGGCGUAAAGGGCACGCAGGCGGUUAAUUAAGUUGGAUGUGAAAUCCCCGGGCUUAACCUGGGAAUGGCAUUCAAGACUGGUUAGCUAGAGUCUUGUAGAGGGGGUAGAAUUCCAUGUGUAGCGGUGAAAUGCGUAGAGAUGUGGAGGAAUACCGGUGGCGAAGGCGGCCCCUGGCAAAGGACUGACGCUCAUGUGCGAAAGCGUGGGGAGCGAAAC